GACGCCAUUGAGAAGUGCAGUGCGCUCCUGUUCUUCCCCUUCCUGUCCUGCCAUGAGAACAUUGACCCAAACCCCUAUGUGGCCAGCUGUGUCUCCGACUUAUGUGUGGCGGACGAUGUGGACACUUUUUGCCGGGCUCUGGUGGAGUACACCAGGGCCUGCUCACACGUGGGCUACCCUGUGAGAGAGUGGAGAGACAGCUUCCCGCAGUGCUCUGACGGUUGUGAGGACAGCUUCGUGCACAGAGACUGCAUCAGCUGCUGUCCUCCCACCUGCACCUUUGAGAAGGAAUGCCUGGGGAGCAACCUGCACUGCCUGGAUGGCUGCUACUGCCACGAUGG
Molecule: long non-coding RNA, 341 nt
Organism: Anguilla rostrata (American eel)
Lineage: Eukaryota; Metazoa; Chordata; Actinopteri; Anguilliformes; Anguillidae
Exons: 3
Source: RefSeq, a predicted model, not a curated record